This 638-nucleotide long non-coding RNA is filed under the name Rattus norvegicus (Norway rat). RNAcentral describes it as "long non-coding RNA NONRATT009345". Lineage: Eukaryota; Metazoa; Chordata; Mammalia; Rodentia; Muridae. The record is from RNAcentral.
UGAAAAGGUUGAUCCAACAAAGGUUGUAAGAACUGCUUUACUGGAUGCUGCUGGGGUGGUCUCCUUGCUAACUACAGCCGAAGCUGUAGUGACAGAAAUUCCUAAAGAAGAGAAGGACCCUGGAAUGGGUUCAAUGGGCGGAAUGGGAGGGGGUAUGGGAGGUGGCAUGUUCUAACUCCUAGAAUAGUGCUUUGCCCUUAUCAAUGAACUGUGACAGGAAGCUCCAGGCAGGUUCCUCACCAAUAACUUCAGAGAAGUCACCUGAAGAAAAUGACUGAAGAGAAGGCUGGCUGAUCACUGUAACCGUCAGUUACUGGUUUCCUUUGACAAUACAUAAUGGUUUACUGCUGUCAUUGUCCACGCCUACAGAUAAUUUAUUUUGUAUUUUUGAAUAAAGACAUUAGUACAUUCCUGAUGCUGGGUGCAGGAGCCAUAUACCAGUGUCCUGCUUUCAACUUAAAUCACUGAGGCAUCUCUACUGUUCUGUCAGCAUCAGGACUGAAGCGCUGUGUCACCACAUGAGAAGUUCAGAAGCAGCCUUUCUGUGGAGGGUGAAAAUGAUUGUGUACAGAGUAGAGAAGUAUCCAAUUAUAUGACAACCUUUGUGUAAUAUAAUUUUGUUUGAAGUUUAAAAAGAA